Oreochromis aureus is the source of this 1113-nucleotide long non-coding RNA. Lineage: Eukaryota; Metazoa; Chordata; Actinopteri; Cichliformes; Cichlidae. The record is from Ensembl.
AAAAGAAAAAUGCUGCAAAUAGAAAAAUGCUGCAAAAAGAAAAACACUUGCAAAAAGAAAAAUGCUGCAAAAAGAAAAAUGCUGCAAAAAGAAAAACGCUGCAAAAAGGAAAACACUUGCAAAAAGAAAAACGCUGCAAAAAGAAAAACGCUGCAAAAGCACACAAAGCACAACGGAAAUAGGAAAAAAGACAACGGAAAUGUUUCUGGGGAGACAAUACCCGGACGGACCAGUUGCACGAACCAAAACAUGCUAACAAGUGCACUGGGAGACACUUCAAAGAAGUGGAGCGGCCAAAGAGUAAACUUUCAAAACUUAUCACACAUUUGAUUUCCAUGUGUGACAACUGCAAGUGUCCAGAGUGAGGACAGACUGAGGGACCCACUGCUGCACAUCAUCUGUGAGGCUUUGCACCCCUGAUGAUCCACCAGGACAAACUCAGCAGUGUGUGAGGAAGAGGAGGAGGAAGAGCCAGCAGCAGCUGACAGAUGGAGAGAAUAGACAGACUGUUCCCUGUUUGUGAAGGACUGCUAGGAAAGUUUAAAAUAACUAAUUGUCUGUCCUGAAUCAGUCUUAUUAGGUAAUGUUCAAAUAAUGUUAUCAUUCCAGUGUUUUCAGUGAGGGAGAAAGUACUCAGAGCCUUCAAGUUACACACUAUGAAAGGCAGCACCAAGUUUAAUAUUCAGAAACCUAAAGUAUGUAUCAGCAGCAGAAUGGAGCUAAAAAUAAAUGUUUGUUUCAGUUCUAUGAAGCUUUGAGUAUUUUGGAUUAGUAGUACUGCUGUGUUUGUUGCAUCAUAUUGCUGUAAUUGUUUAUAUGCUUUAUAUAUUCUGAGGUAAGUUGAUCUAUAGUGUUACAUCAUAUUCUAUAAGGAUGUUAUGUGUUUGUGUACUUUCUGCCCAGUUUGACCCAUUUAGCAGAAGUCAGCCUGUUUAAGGCUCUGAUAUCUAUUCUAUAUGACUUAAAGCAGUUAUGACAUGGUCUGAUUUUCUCACCCAAUAAAGGAAUAUUUAAUAUUUCAGUCUACUCUUCAUUCUAUCAGAAACAGUUAUCACAGCUCGUACAUUUGCUUCUUCCACACAUAUAUAAGCAUUGAGCCAAAUUUAGUAAUGC